GUACCAUUGGGGGCUGUUAUACCAGGACACAUGGAGAUGAAGAACUAAAGCAAAAUACUGUCUACUUCACAGUUUUGCCUAAGGCUGGGCUUAAUUCUUAAAAAUAUAAAACUCUGCAAAGAAAGUGUCUAGCACUUAUAUCUCCAGUAACUCCUGUCAAGGUUUGUUGUUGCUUGUUCAUCUUUGCAGUCCUGACUACAAGUGUGAUUGCACUUUCUAUUGUUCUGUCAGAAUUUCCUGAAAAGAUACAAAGGCCCUUCUGACCAUUGGAUUGGCCUUAGAAGAGAAUCAUCCCAUCACAUUUGGGAAUGGACAGACAACAUGGAAUAUAAUAACACUUUUCACACAUUUAUAAAACAAUUUGGGAGGAGACUGGAAAUCAUCUUGACUGAAGACCACCAAUGGCAGCAGUUCAUUUGGGCUUGCUAUCAGAGGAGGUGGAGAAUGUGCCUUCCUGAAUGACAAUGGAGUAAACAGUGACAGAAUCUACAUAAACAGAAAAUGGAUUUGUAGCAAGCCAAACAGUUAUGUCUACAGUUGCCAGUUAUGUCCCCACUGAGAUACUACCUAGUAGAGCUGUGAGAAGAGGGCCACCAUCCUCCAGACUCCAGAAUGGUAGACUCAUCAGCAGCUUCCACCAUGCCCCUGGAAAAACUGCAAGUAACAGACCUGCACAUGGAUCCCCUAAAUCUAAAAUAAAAGUUGGAAAAAAUGGAACUUUGAUAUUAAGAUGCACUGAUACAAAACUUAAAUUUUGGUCUCCUACAUUAAAACAAUAUGAGUCUCUUAAAAUAUUGAUUUG
RNAcentral lists this small RNA (802 nucleotides) under Pongo abelii (Sumatran orangutan). RNAcentral's name for it is "processed transcript". Lineage: Eukaryota; Metazoa; Chordata; Mammalia; Primates; Hominidae. The record is from RNAcentral.